GUCCCCGUCCCUGUCCCCGACCCCGUUCCUGUCCCCGUCCCCGUCCCCAGGGUGCCCCCCGUCCCCAGCGCCCCAUCCCCUCGUGUUUCAGGGAGCGCAUGACGGCGUCCGAGUGCCUCGUCCACCCCUGGAUCAAGGUGAGAGGGAGCUGGGGGGGGAGCAGGGCUGGGGCUGGGUCCCCCCCGGGUCCCCCCCCCAUCCCCGGGCACCGUGUACCAGGGGAGGGGGCGUGGGGACGAUGCCCGGCUUCGCCCCCCGCAGCCCCUGAGCAGGAAGCAGGCGGCGAAGCGGAGCCGCUCCUCCAUCAACAUGAAAAACUUCCGCAAGUUCAACGCCCGGAGGAAGUGGAAGCUCUCCUACAACAUGGUGUCCGCCUGCAACCGGCUGUGCCGCAUGCGGCUGCUCUGCGGCCCGCGCACGGAGGAUGAGGAGCUGCGCGGCUGCGAGAGCGAGCAGGAGGACGAGGGCAGCCACCCCGCCACGCUGCUGCGCCGGCGGAGAAGCAGCUGCUCCUGAGCCCCCCCCUUGGGGGGGGGGCCCCAAAAAGGGGCCUCUCCGGAAGGGGGGCUUCGGAGGGGGGGCCCCCCCAUUGGGGUGGGACCCCCCCAUUCCGGUGGCUUCGAGCACCUGGGAGCUGGGGCUGCUGCCCGGCCCCAGUGCUCCCAGUCCCGCGGUGCUGGAGGGGCGCUGGGGCAGUGCCCCCGGACCGGGCUCUGCUGCUGGACCCCCCCCCCCGCGGCGCCCCCCCCCCCGUCCCCCGAGCUGGCCCCCCGAAAUAAACGUCCCCCCCAUCCUCGUGUCCUGCAUCCACGCCGGCUUCCUCCUGCUCCUCCUCCUCCUCCUCCCCGCAGCCGGCACCUUGGGGACCCCCACGGGGCGCAGACCCCAUGCCCAAAGGAGCCCCAUGGGGAAACUGAGGCACGGCGCAUU
RNAcentral lists this long non-coding RNA (930 nucleotides) under Anas platyrhynchos platyrhynchos (common mallard). Its description in RNAcentral is "lncRNA (ENSAPLG00000023686.1)". Lineage: Eukaryota; Metazoa; Chordata; Aves; Anseriformes; Anatidae. The record is from RNAcentral.